RNAcentral lists this unclassified non-coding RNA (378 nucleotides) under uncultured bacterium. Its description in RNAcentral is "contains 16S-23S intergenic spacer region". The record is from RNAcentral.
UCCGGUUUGGCACCGGCAGUCUCCGAUGAGUCCCCGACAUAACUCGCUGGCAACAUCGGACAGGGGUUGCGCUCGUUGCGCCACUUAAGGCAACACCUCACGGCACGAGCUGACGACAGCCAUGCACCACCUGUGAUCCUGCCCCGAAGGGAAGCCCUGUUUCCAGGGCGGUCAGAAACAUGUCAAACCCAGGUAAGGUUCUUCGCGUUGCGUCGAAUUAAACCACAUGCUCCACCGCUUGUGCGGGCCCCCGUCAAUUCCUUUGAGUUUCAGCCUUGCGGCCGUACUCCCCAGGCGGGGCACUUAAUGCGUUAGCGCCGGCACCCAGGGGGUCGAUCCCCCAGGCACCUAGUGCCCAUCGUUUACGGCGUGGACUAC